RNAcentral lists this ribosomal RNA (433 nucleotides) under uncultured bacterium. Its description in RNAcentral is "partial 16S ribosomal RNA". It matches the Rfam family "Bacterial small subunit ribosomal RNA", at positions 29 to 507 of the family's 1533-position model. The record is from RNAcentral.
AACGAACGCUGGCGGCAUGCCUAACACAUGCAAGUCGAACGAGACCUUCGGGUCUAGUGGCGCACGGGUGCGUAACGCGUGGGAACCUGCCCUUAGGUUCGGAAUAACUCCCCGAAAGGGGUGCUAAUACCGGAUAAUGUCUUCGGACCAAAGAUUUAUCGCCUUUGGAUGGGCCCGCGUUGGAUUAGCUAGUUGGUAGGGUAAAAGCCUACCAAGGCGACGAUCCAUAGCUGGUCUGAGAGGAUGAUCAGCCACACUGGGACUGAGACACGGCCCAGACUCCUACGGGAGGCAGCAGUGGAGAAUAUUGGACAAUGGGCGAAAGCCUGAUCCAGCAAUGCCGCGUGAGUGAUGAGGGCCUUAGGGUUGUAAAGCUCUUUUACCCGGGAUGAUAAUGACAGUACCGGGAGAAUAAGCUCCGGCUAACUCCGUG